Molecule: small RNA, 97 nt
Filed under: Pedobacter terrae
Lineage: Bacteria; Pseudomonadati; Bacteroidota; Sphingobacteriia; Sphingobacteriales; Sphingobacteriaceae
Description: Flavo-1 RNA
Rfam family: Flavo-1 RNA
Source: RNAcentral
AAAUAGCCCUGAUGGGAGCGGUAUCCCUUUUUGGGCAAGACAGAAUUGUUUGAAAAAUAAGGUUUCCAAAAGAAUAAAGCGUACAGGAGGACGGAAC